AGAGUGAACGCUGGCGGUAGGCCUAACACAUGCAAGUCGAACGGCAGCACAGUGGUAGCAAUACCAUGGGUGGCGAGUGGCGGACGGGUGAGGAAUACAUCGGAAUCUACCUUUUCGUGGGGGAUAACGUAGGGAAACUUACGCUAAUACCGCAUAAGACCUUCGGGUGAAAGCCGGGGACCUUCGGGCCUGGCGCGGAUAGAUGAGCCGAUGUCGGAUUAGCUUGUGGCGGGUAAAAGCCCACCAAGGCGACGAUCCGUAGCUGGUCUGAGAGGAUGAUCAGCCACACUGGAACUGAGACACGGUCCAGACUCCUACGGGAGGCAGCAGUGGGGGAAUAUUGGACAAUGGG
This 352-nucleotide ribosomal RNA is filed under the name uncultured soil bacterium. Its description in RNAcentral is "bacterial SSU rRNA". It matches the Rfam family "Bacterial small subunit ribosomal RNA", at positions 26 to 375 of the family's 1533-position model. The record is from RNAcentral.